RNAcentral lists this ribosomal RNA (497 nucleotides) under uncultured bacterium. RNAcentral's name for it is "partial 16S ribosomal RNA". It matches the Rfam family "Bacterial small subunit ribosomal RNA", at positions 28 to 507 of the family's 1533-position model. The record is from RNAcentral.
GAUGAACGCUGGCGGCGUGCCUAAUACAUGCAAGUCGAGCGAACAGACGAGGAGCUUGCUCCUUUGACGUUAGCGGCGGACGGGUGAGUAACACGUGGAUAACCUACCUAUAAGACUGGGAUAACUUCGGGAAACCGGAGCUAAUACCGGAUAACAUGUUGAACCGCAUGGUUCAACAGUGAAAGACGGUCUUGCUGUCACUUAUAGAUGGAUCCGCGCCGCAUUAGCUAGUUGGUAAGGUAACGGCUUACCAAGGCAACGAUGCGUAGCCGACCUGAGAGGGUGAUCGGCGACACUGGAAGUGAGACAGGGUCCAGACUCCUACGGGAGGCAGCAGUAGGGAAUCUUCCGCAAUAGGCGAAAGCCUGACGGAGCAACGCCGCGUGAGUGAAGAAGGUCUUCGGAUCGUAAAACUCUGUUAUUAGGGAAGAACAAAUGUGUAAGGAGCUAUGCACGUCUUGACGGUACCUAAUAAGAAAGCCACGGCUAACUACGUG